GGGUUGUGAGGUUAAGCGACUAAGCGUACACGGUGGAUGCCCUGGCAGUCAGAGGCGAUGAAGGACGUGCUAAUCUGCGAUAAGCGCCGGUAAGGUGAUAUGAACCGUUAUAACCGGCGAUUUCCGAAUGGGGAAACCCAGUGUGACUCGUCACACUAUCAUUAACUGAAUCCAUAGGUUAAUGAGGCGAACCGGGGGAACUGAAACAUCUAAGUACCCCGAGGAAAAGAAAUCAACCGAGAUUCCCCCAGUAGCGGCGAGCGAACGGGGAGGAGCCCAGAGCCUGAAUCAGCAUGUGUGUUAGUGGAAGCGUCUGGAAAGGCGCGCGAUACAGGGUGACAGCCCCGUACACAAAAGCGCAUGUGCUGUGAGCUCGAUGAGUAGGGCGGGACACGUGGUAUCCUGUCUGAAUAUGGGGGGACCAUCCUCCAAGGCUAAAUACUCCUGACUGACCGAUAGUGAACCAGUACCGUGAGGGAAAGGCGAAAAGAACCCCGGCGAGGGGAGUGAAAAAGAACCUGAAACCGUGUACGUACAAGCAGUGGGAGCACCCUUCGGGGUGUGACUGCGUACCUUUUGUAUAAUGGGUCAGCGACUUAUAUUCUGUAGCAAGGUUAACCGUAUAGGGGAGCCGUAGGGAAACCGAGUCUUAACCGGGCGUUAAGUUGCAGGGUAUAGACCCGAAACCCGGUGAUCUAGCCAUGGGCAGGUUGAAGGUUGGGUAACACUAACUGGAGGACCGAACCGACUAAUGUUGAAAAAUUAGCGGAUGACCUGUGGCUGGGGGUGAAAGGCCAAUCAAACCGGGAGAUAGCUGGUUCUCCCCGAAAGCUAUUUAGGUAGCGCCUCGUGAAUUCAUCUCCGGGGGUAGAGCACUGUUUCGGCUAGGGGGCCAUCCCGGCUUACCAACCCGAUGCAAACUGCGAAUACCGGAGAAUGUUAUCACGGGAGACACACGGCGGGUGCUAACGUCCGUCGUGAAGAGGGAAACAACCCAGACCGCCAGCUAAGGUCCCAAAGUCAUAGUUAAGUGGGAAACGAUGUGGGAAGGCCCAGACAGCCAGGAUGUUGGCUUAGAAGCAGCCAUCAUUUAAAGAAAGCGUAAUAGCUCACUGGUCGAGUCGGCCUGCGCGGAAGAUGUAACGGGGCUAAACUAUGCACCGAAGCUGCGGCAGCGACACUAUGUGUUGUUGGGUAGGGGAGCGUUCUGUAAGCCUGUGAAGGUGUGUCGUGAGGCAUGCUGGAGGUAUCAGAAGUGCGAAUGCUGACAUAAGUAACGAUAAAGCGGGUGAAAAGCCCGCUCGCCGGAAGACCAAGGGUUCCUGUCCAACGUUAAUCGGGGCAGGGUGAGUCGACCCCUAAGGCGAGGCCGAAAGGCGUAGUCGAUGGGAAACGGGUUAAUAUUCCCGUACUUGGUGUUACUGCGAAGGGGGGACGGAGAAGGCUAUGUUGGCCGGGCGACGGUUGUCCCGGUUUAAGCGUGUAGGUGUGUGUUCCAGGUAAAUCCGGUUCACUUUAACACUGAGGCGUGA
Molecule: ribosomal RNA, 1532 nt
Filed under: Salmonella enterica
Lineage: Bacteria; Pseudomonadati; Pseudomonadota; Gammaproteobacteria; Enterobacterales; Enterobacteriaceae
Description: partial 23S ribosomal RNA
Rfam family: Bacterial large subunit ribosomal RNA
Source: RNAcentral